RNAcentral lists this unclassified non-coding RNA (566 nucleotides) under Hevea brasiliensis (rubber tree). The record is from RNAcentral. Lineage: Eukaryota; Viridiplantae; Streptophyta; Magnoliopsida; Malpighiales; Euphorbiaceae.
UGAAAACUCAAUUUUUUUUCAAUGCUUAUGAGUUCAAUAUACAUAACCAAAACAAAGAAACUCUACAUUAAUGCAGAGAAAGUAAAUCUUGGUGAAGAGAAAAGAAAACAAUAGCGAACCGACUGUUCAAUCAGCUUCCUCAACAGCAGCUUCGAUUCGAAGGAGUACAAAACCAACAGCUACUCCAACAAGAACCAGAGCUGGAAUAAUAGAAGCAAUCUUGAAAAUCUCAACAGCGGCAUUGCAAGUAGAAGACAAAGCUCCGCCUUUGCCUUGUGAUGAUGAUGAUGUUGUUCUCAAGGAACUAACAAUGUUUGCAAAUGACUGUUCAGUACUCAAAGGGUGGCCUAAUGAGGCAACAUUGUUAUGUGCCUUAAGCCCUUCAAAUGAAUUCAAGCCACUAAUGUACUUCACUUUGGUUCUUUUCUGGGAACACUUGUUUGUGCCAACUCUGGCUGCUAGAGUAACUGUUGCUGGAGAGAGUGUCACUGAACCUGUUGCCAUUGCUUUCUGACCACCAACCUGGUUGUGAUGGCUUGUGGAGUGAUCUAAGUUUUGGAAAGUAG